GGGCUCGUAGAUCAGUUGGCAGAUCGCCACCCUUGCAAGGUGGAGGCCGUGGGUUCGAAUCCCACCGAGUCCA
This 73-nucleotide transfer RNA is filed under the name Thermoplasmatales archaeon SW_10_69_26. RNAcentral describes it as "tRNA-Ala". It matches the Rfam family "tRNA". Rfam says of the family: Transfer RNA (tRNA) molecules are approximately 80 nucleotides in length. Their secondary structure includes four short double-helical elements and three loops (D, anti-codon, and T loops). The record is from RNAcentral. Lineage: Archaea; Methanobacteriati; Thermoplasmatota; Thermoplasmata; Thermoplasmatales.